GUCCUGAAUCGCAUCGGGACCGCUUGUAGCAUAGAUGGCAGCAUUGUUCUCGGCUGUCACCGUAAGGUGCUGCCACCGCGGGUGCGCGGUCGUUUUGGGAACUGCAUUACAACCAAGCUGCGUUAAAUGAGUGAUUUAUACUAUCUCGAUUAGUAUUUCACAUUGGAAUAUCGUAGUGAAAUUAUUUGAUACGUUUUCUCCAAGUGUGACCGAUUGCAUUUGGUAAAAGGCGUAUUUAAAUUUGUUUAUUGUCGGCCGGUUUCGUCUGCCCAUACUUGUUAUUUUUGCGUGUCACCAGCUGACCGGCCUUGUGCGCAAUUCGACACGAAACCCGGCGAAGGAAGACACCUUGGAUGUCGUUCCUAACCCUUCCUGAACUGGAGAGGGACGACUUCUGGAUGCAGCAGUCCUGGACGACGAUCUGGUGGACUGCAGGAGCCGGCAUGCCUCCAACGGCGGGGCUGGCGACCUGGCGGAGUCGGUCGCGGCGAGCUGCUGUGUGCGUCGCCUGCGGAGUCGCCGCCGGCGCGAGGUCAGCUGCGGCGAACUGGUCUGCCUGUGGAGUGGCCGCCGGCACGGGGCGGCCCCGGCGAGCUGCUGUCUGCUGUGCCUGUGUCGCCUGCGGGGUGGCCGUGGGCACGGAGUCGGCCACUGCCGAUUUAGGUCGCUCUCAGAAUAGUGACUUAGUGAUGACGCUGACUGUGCAUAUCAGGCUGGAGGCGGUGCGGGUGUUAAGUCUGACCCUGGCGGCGUCUCUGGAACUGCGGCGAGCUGCCGGUUGCGGCGGCUGGUGCUUCGGCCACGGCGCGUGGUACUGUCUGCUGAGCCAGACACGGGAAGGUCGGCUGCAGCGAGUCGACUGGUCUCCCUGGCUGCCGGCUGAGUCGUGGACAACAGUCGACAGCUGCAGUGGCAGCGAGACUGGGAUGUGUACCGUGCGCGAUCACUGACGCGUGUGUACCGUGUGCGAUCACUCAGGUGACGUUGCGUCACCGGGGGGAGGAUGUGAUGGUCCUGAAUCGCAUCGGGACCGCUUGUAGCAUAGAUGGCAGCAUUGUUCUCGGCUGUCACCGUAAGGUGCUGCCACCGCGGGUGCGCGGUCGUUUUGGGAACUGCAUUACAACCAAGCUGCGUUAAAUGAGUGAUUUAUACUAUCUCGAUUAGUAUUUCACAUUGGAAUAUCGUAGUGAAAUUAUUUGAUACGUUUUCUCCAAGUGUGACCGAUUGCAUUUGGUAAAAGGCGUAUUUAAAUUUGUUUAUUGUCGGCCGGUUUCGUCUGCCCAUACUUGUUAUUUUUGCGUGUCACCAGCUGACCGGCCUUGUGCGCAAUUCGACACGAAACCCGGCGAAGGAAGACACCUUGGUAGGUUAUUUGGAUAUUUUGGACAUGAAAUGCUACUUGUCGCUUCGUUGGUUGUUGAUAUGCACUAAUUAACUCCGGUGUGAGGUUCAAAAGUAUUUAGUUUGGAUAUAUGCCCAUAGAUAUGUCAGAUACUGCUGAUACCGAAAUGAAUGAGACGAUUUAUGGCGCACACCGGUGUAAAAGGGCCUGUUAUUUGUGUAUUUUACAGGAACCUACAACUAAACUACUGAUCUACGAUCUCUCAACAAACUACAGACUGCAUCUGUCUACUGUCCAUAUGUCUCUUCUAUUCUAAUGCCCAAUACAUUUAUUUCCAUUUA
RNAcentral lists this long non-coding RNA (1683 nucleotides) under Amphibalanus amphitrite. RNAcentral's name for it is "uncharacterized LOC122371259". The record is from RNAcentral. Lineage: Eukaryota; Metazoa; Arthropoda; Thecostraca; Balanomorpha; Balanidae.